This 1242-nucleotide long non-coding RNA is filed under the name Mus caroli (Ryukyu mouse). Its description in RNAcentral is "RIKEN cDNA A830082K12 gene (MGP_CAROLIEiJ_G0002834.1)". The record is from RNAcentral. Lineage: Eukaryota; Metazoa; Chordata; Mammalia; Rodentia; Muridae.
ACAGAAGCCCCAUCCCCACAGCCACAGGCACCAAGGCGAGAGAGAAAGAAAGAGCAGGGAGGCGGGCGAAGCGCAGGGAGAGAAGCAGAGAAGAAAUAUUCACCUUCCCGCCUCAUGCCCACUUUGAGGCACUUCUUGAGGCGGCAGUAUUGGCACUGGUUGCGGUGGUGCUGGUCGAUGGGACAGUUCCUGUUGGCACGGCAUGUGUGGCUAUGGAAUGGUGUAGCAGAUUGCUGCAGAUGGUUUCAAUAGUUCUGCUGAAUGCUCCUCGUUUGUGCCUGCAAGAGGAACUCAAGGCUUUAUGUAUGGCCAUUGCUGUGACCUAGUGUGAUGCUCUACUUUUCCACUGAACUCUGCUUGCUCUAACUGAGGACCUUAGCUAUAAUUUAGCCUUUUCUUUUUAUAUUAAGCUGUUGUUGAGGAAGGAGCUUUGGCAAUAGAAGUAACCAAGCAGCAGGUUCAGUUCCACUGUUGACACAAUUGGAAACGGAUCCCUACUUUAUGCAUUGGAGAUGCUAUGAAGACUACUCUGAUGUUCCCCUAUUGGGAUAGUGAAGUAUGAUGCUUCAUUGGUUGAGUGUAUGCAAUCAAAAUAAGAGUGAAAAAGGAAGAUCUGGGGGGUGGGCAGAUGCCUGCUGGGUAAACUAUUUGUGGCAUAAACUUGAUAACCCCACAGGAAAGCCAGAUGUUGUCAUGUGCUUCUAACCACAAUUCUGCUAUUGAAUGGGGGCUUACUGGUCAGUGACUAGCCAAAAUGUGAGCUUCAUGUGCUGAGAGAACUACCUAUCUCAAAAAUAAGGUGAAAGGGUUAGAGAGGUUGCAAAGUAGCACUGACUGAUCUCUCAGAGGAAAACGUGGGUUCAACCCCUAGCACCCACAUAGCAGCCAACAACCAUCUGUACUCUAGUCUCAGGGGAUCUAGUUCCUUCUUAUAUCCUCAGUGAACACUGCACAUAUAUUGUGCAUAGACAUACAUUCGGUCAAACAAACACUCAGACACAUAAAAAUAAAUGAAAUCUCAAAAUAUUUUAAAAAGAUAAUGUGGAGGGUGAUUGAGGCCUUAUAUUAAUCUUUAGACUUUGCAAAAUGAGUUUUAUACACACACACACACAAAACACACAAACACACUAUAUGUACACACACAUAUAUACACUAACACACACACUUGAAAAAAUGUUAUUGCUUAAAUUUUUUUGAUAACUUGUCUCAGAAUUUUUAUUAUUGAUUUCAUUAUAAUAUUUA